Non-coding RNA from Strongylocentrotus purpuratus (purple sea urchin), 45 nucleotides. The record is from Rfam. Lineage: Eukaryota; Metazoa; Echinodermata; Echinoidea; Camarodonta; Strongylocentrotidae.
CCAACAGUCUUUUUCAAGACUACCAACAGUACUUUUAUGGACUAC